UUGGAGUCCCACACAAGGGGAGCGAGCCAGUGGAAAAUAAACCAUGUUCAUUGCAGUGUGCCUCUGUUAGGAGAGUGCUUCUCUCUCUGUCGGUCGCUCCGUUUUUUUGACGACUUAUAGAGAGCGUGUGUGCAGGGACAGGCCCUUUAUGUGCUCUCUGCUCUCUCUGUGCUUUCUCUCUUUUUUUCACUUUCUGUUUAUCGUGACUAUUUUGUCAGGAGCUGGUUGAGAGAUAGACCUGGCAGGAGAGCGGCAGAACUGGAUUUGUUUGAAAGAACAACCGUAGACAAGAAGUGCAUAGAGAAGAGUUUGUUUUGAACUUCCAGCAUGAGAAGAUAGACAUCUUUUGAAGAACAAAGAGAGAAAGAGGGACUGAAAGAUGUACGACCUGCAAACAACAAGGUGGCUGAGUCAACCGUUGUCUUAAUGAGGAAAUGGAGAUGGUCUAUCUUCAAUGGUUUUUAUGGUCCCUGCUGUAUUUUCACUGAAAGAGCCGGCCUACUCUGUCCACCAAGCCUGACUCCAUUUUGAUGCCAGACGAGGAGACGAGGACUGACCAGCCCUUUGGUUCCCACACCAUGUUGGCUCCAGCCCACACCAUUGGCUACCCACUACCACACCAGUACGUUGGCAUUUCUCUUUUCGUAUUUCUGUAUUUUUCUAUUAAUUUCUCAAUUAAUUUCUCUCUUGGUCUUGGUUUGUCGUGAUAAGUGCGAAACUGGACCUAUGAUUCUGUACCUCUCAUUCUCUCAUGUUCAACUGACCUUUCCCUAUAGUACCUGUAUUGUUUUUAACGGUGAUUGUGAAUUCCUAUAUUUCUCGGAGAUAAGUACGGUAACAUAAAUAAAGCGAAUUAAAUCUCUCCCUCGUGUGUAUAUUCACCCUCAGCUUGUGAAAAAUAUUUGACAGUGAUUGUUCUGAAAGAUAGUGUAGUGAUGUGCAUAAACGAAACAUGGCAUUUUCAAAUCAAAAAUAUCUUUCAGAGCCACGUUUUGUUUUGUUAUGAUUUACAGUUCGCUAUGACAAUUGAAUGACCUUUUCAAUUUGUAGUUGAAUGUCACACGGUCUAUCAUUUCUGUUACACACCUUAAUCAAGAGGUGUGCUGUGUUUCUGUGGUGAUUAGAGUGACAAGGUGGCUCAGCAGAACUCAUUGAGUUCAUUGAUUUACUGUUAAUUCAUGUGACCUUUCAUUUGACUGUUGUCUUAUUCAUUGUUUAAUUAUACCUUCUGCACUAUCCCCUGGGGUGACUUUCUCUAUAGCAGUUAUUAAAAUGUCUUUAUAUAAGAGCUAUGGCCAGAUUUAAAUCCAUUUUAACUCGUUUUUUUGUUGCAAUUCUGCAUUGCAGUAUUUCUUCAACAAAUGUACUCACACCCUGACAUUUUAUUAAGUGGUAACAGAUAUUAUUUGCAAAGUCUGUAUAGGUCAAUUUUUAUAUUACAAUUCAGAAAUCAGGAAGAUGGGCAGACAUAUCUGAAAUGAAAUAUUUAUUGUUCGUCCCGGAUACUUAAAUGAUUUUUCCUGGCUACCUCUUGAAAAUAAUGAAUAUACGCUAACAUGAAAAUGCAAUAAGGCAUUGUAAUAACCAACAUACUAUUCUCUCUCCUCCCUUUUGAUAUUUUGAUAUUGAGAGGCAAAAGUAUAUGAGUCACAUAAGGGUUAUACAACGCCAAGCGCAUAUGACAGUCAUGUGUCUUGUCCACUUCAUUGUGCCAUAUCACAGGAGAUCCCCAAUCUUUUCUCAACUGAUAAGUGGUAUAUAAUACAUUUCAGACGGACAGAUUUGGAAGGUCUCGUUCGGUUGUCAAACAGAAUAGUAGUGCAGUGUAUCAACCCCGGCUUGUUAUUGAAGGUAACAUUCGAUAAAGAAUAUAAAAUCUUGCCUCAAUAUAUUUUUUCAGGACAAACGUUUGAUACCUCAAUAUAUACUCAAGGAUGGGCCCAUUAUCUUAUUGUCAACCACCACAAUCAUAUUAGUCUGAACCUGUAUUCAGUCAAGGUUUCCAUGCGCUUUCCUACAUUUCUUGACUUGCCUAGUUAAAUAAGGAUUAAAAAAAGGGACUUGAGGGAUCAUUUCAAUUUGUGUAUGAAUGAUUCUAACAAUUGUCCUUCACUGUAGUACAUUUUUUGUUAAAGCCAAAGUGCAAAAAAAUGACAAGAAAUGAAUGAGGAAUUACCAUGAGAUUUUAA
This is a long non-coding RNA of Salvelinus sp. IW2-2015, 2189 nucleotides long. RefSeq lists it as uncharacterized. The transcript is spliced from 3 exons. NCBI's taxonomy places the organism in Eukaryota, Metazoa, Chordata, Actinopteri, Salmoniformes, Salmonidae. The record is from RefSeq and is a predicted model, not a curated record.